GCCAGGUGUGGUGGUGCACACCUGUAAUCCGAGCUACUUGGGAGGCUGAGACAGGAGAAUCGCUUGAGCCCAGGAGGCAGAGGUUGCAGUGAGCCAGGAUCAUGACACUGCAUCCUAGCCUGGGUGACAGAGUGAGAUUCCAUUUUAA
This 148-nucleotide small RNA is filed under the name Macaca mulatta (Rhesus monkey). Its description in RNAcentral is "Metazoan signal recognition particle RNA (ENSMMUG00000058616.1)". The record is from Rfam by way of RNAcentral. Lineage: Eukaryota; Metazoa; Chordata; Mammalia; Primates; Cercopithecidae.